GACCCAAUAGAAUAGACGUCUAGUCUCGCUAUCUUUGGGCCAUUGAAGCGAAUGAAAGCCGCCACAGUAUAUGUCGGCAUCCCUGAGGUAAAGCUGGUACCUCUAGACCAGUGCACGGAACUCGUACGGUCACCUCGGCAACCCAACCACCGCCAGUCUGUAGAGGUGCGCUUUAAGUGUGAAAUGUCCCCAGAAAACUACCGUCUAAAACUUCCACAACCUUCAUAGAUUCACGACGACAUUGGCGCAGCGUAGUCGUUGUCCAGCGCGCGACAAACCGUACCUGCGACCGUAAAAUCAUCCAUAAGACCACGGUGGGUGAUCGGUCGUCAGGUUGUCAAUCACAUGAUUACAGGGACCAAUGAAAAACCGCUGCCACACAGCGCUGCUAUAGAUGAAAUCAACGCUUAUAAAAAAAAAAAAAAAAACACUAGGGGUCCCCAUACCAUCCAGAACAUAAUCCUGUCCAUCUGAAGCUCAGGCAGGAACAAAGUCCAGGAAGUGAAGGCGGGACUAGCAGGAGGAGGUUACAAAGAAGCCUGCAGUGAUUGGAUGAAGAGACUCAGCACAGCAGACUCAGGGAGGAAGAGGAGUUAUGCAGAGUGAGGAGAAGCCUUCUCCAGAAAACAGAAUAAAAACAACAAGUACUCUAAGAUUAUAGUGGUUAUAAGUUAACUCACUGAGCAGUUCUUGUGGGGUUGAUGCGUCACAGACACCAAAAAGAAGCCGUAACAAGCAGAGACCUGGAGUGUUGGAACAGUAGUUGAGGGGGACUGGAGGAGGUAAACUAUCGGGACAGAUGUUGUGCUGCUGAUGCAGGUACCUUACAGAGGAUCGCCUAGUCUGGAUUACAAUUUAGCAGAUGCUCAGCUAGAAGAAGUAUUAGAAGGGAAAGCUCCAUUGCAAAAGUGAGGAUAGCACGCACCCUCUUCUUAUUGGAUGCCACAACAACAAUGCGAUCCUAGCCAAAAAAAGACGUGCCAAUUAGAAGAUGACGGGAGUAAAGUUUCAAUAGUAUUACGGAUUGUGGUGCCCGGUCUUCUCACAUUGAAAAAGCAUUAUUGUUAUUAAUAUUUUUAUUAUUAUUAUUAUUAUUAUACUAGUCUAGUAAUGUUUUUGCAUAUUACUGCUCUACACACUGUCAACCAAAUGAAGCUGAGAUUUAUAUAUUAACCAUUAAAAAGUCUACCAUUUACACAAUCCACUAAAAAUUGGAUAUUUCUAAUGUAUUGACCAAU
Hyla sarda is the source of this 1238-nucleotide long non-coding RNA. RefSeq lists it as uncharacterized. The transcript is spliced from 5 exons. NCBI's taxonomy places the organism in Eukaryota, Metazoa, Chordata, Amphibia, Anura, Hylidae. The record is from RefSeq and is a predicted model, not a curated record.